AUACGAAGGUGGCUAGCGUUGUUCGAAAUUACUGGGCGUAAAGCGCGCGUAGGCGGACUGAUCAGUUGGGGGUGAAACCCCAGGGCUUAACCCUGGAACUGCCUCCAAUACUGUCAGUCUUGAGUUCGGGAGAGGUGAGUGGAAUUCCUAGUGUAGAGGUGAAAUUCGUAGAUAUUAGGAAGAACACCAGUGGCGAAGGCGGCUCACUGGCCCGAUACUGACGCUGAGGCGCGAAAGCGUGGGGAGCAAACAGGAUUAGAUACCCUAGUAGUCC
Molecule: ribosomal RNA, 274 nt
Filed under: uncultured bacterium
Lineage: Bacteria
Description: partial 16S ribosomal RNA
Rfam family: Bacterial small subunit ribosomal RNA
Source: RNAcentral